AUUGAACGCUGGCGGCAGGCCUAACACAUGCAAGUCGAACGGUAACAGGAAGCAGCUUGCUGCUUUGCUGACGAGUGGCGGACGGGUGAGUAAUGUCUGGGAAACUGCCUGAUGGAGGGGGAUAACUACUGGAAACGGUAGCUAAUACCGCAUAACGUCGCAAGACCAAAGAGGGGGACCUUAGGGCCUCUUGCCAUCGGAUGUGCCCAGAUGGGAUUAGCUAGUAGGUGGGGUAACGGCUCACCUAGGCGACGAUCCCUAGCUGGUCUGAGAGGAUGACCAGCCACACUGGGACUGAGACACGGUCCAGACUCCUACGGGAGGCAGCAGUGGGGAAUAUUGCACAAUGGGCGCAAGCCUGAUGCAGCCAUGCCGCGUGUAUGAAGAAGGCCUUCGGGUUGUAAAGUACUUUCAGCGGGGAGGAAGGGAGUAAAGUUAAUACCUUUGCUCAUUGACGUUACCCGCAGAAGAAGCACCGGCUAACUCCGUG
Molecule: ribosomal RNA, 490 nt
Filed under: uncultured bacterium
Lineage: Bacteria
Description: partial 16S ribosomal RNA
Rfam family: Bacterial small subunit ribosomal RNA
Source: RNAcentral